AACAUUAUGUAGAAACUAGAGAGUCAACAAAAAACGAUGUACGUGUUGUUUGAGUUUGUCGUCAAAAGCAGUUAAGCAUCUGAAUUAAGAAACUACAACCAUGCUUUGAGAGUGUAUAAUGAAAGAUGUUUGCAAGCAGAAUACAGGAAAUGGAUAGGCAUUAUGACCAA
Molecule: long non-coding RNA, 170 nt
Organism: Xenia sp. Carnegie-2017
Lineage: Eukaryota; Metazoa; Cnidaria; Anthozoa; Malacalcyonacea; Xeniidae
Exons: 2
Source: RefSeq, a predicted model, not a curated record